AUAACAACAGCCACAUAACAGCUUUUCAACAGAACAACUCAUAAUCAACUUUGGCUCUUCAGCCUACAACUCAGUAAUGCUCAACAAAUCAACUUAGAAUCAACGUUGGCUCAUCGGCCUACAACUUAAUAAUUUCAACAAGGCAACUAAAAAAAUCAACUUUUCAACAUUAUUGCAUCAACAUUUCACAACCAUAAACCUAAUAAAUUCAUUCCUCACAAUUAACUAUGAUAGGCCAGCUACCACUUGCACUCACAACAUAAAAUCAACUAUUUUCCAUUCUGCAAAG
This 289-nucleotide long non-coding RNA is filed under the name Lathyrus oleraceus (garden pea). RNAcentral's name for it is "Pisum sativum (pea) long non-coding RNA (PSAT_LNC002312)". Lineage: Eukaryota; Viridiplantae; Streptophyta; Magnoliopsida; Fabales; Fabaceae. The record is from RNAcentral.